AGAGUUUGAUCAUGGCUCAGAUUGAACGCUGGCGGCAUGCCUUACACAUGCAAGUCGAACGGCAGCGCGGGAGCAAUCCUGGCGGCGAGUGGCGAACGGGUGAGUAAUAUAUCGGAACAUGCCCUGUAGCGGGGGAUAACCUAUCGAAAGAUGGACUAAUACCGCAUACGCUCUACGGAGGAAAGCGGGGGUCGCAAGACCUCGCACUAUAGGAGCGGCCGAUAUCGGAUUAGCUAGUUGGCGGGGUAAAAGCCCACCAAGGCGACGAUCCGUAGCUGGUCUGAGAGGAUGAUCAGCCACACUGGAACUGAGACACGGUCCAGACUCCUACGGGAGGCAGCAGUGGGGAAUUUUGGACAAUGGGCGCAAGCCUGAUCCAGCCAUGCCGCGUGAGUGAAGAAGGCCUUCGGGUUGUAAAGCUCUUUCGGCAGGAACGAAAUGGUUCGUGCUAAUACCACGGACUGAUGACGGUACCUGAAGAAGAAGCACCGGCUAACUACGUGCCAGCAGCCGCGGUAAUACGUAGGGUGCAGGCGUUAAUCGGAAUUACUGGGCGUAAAGCGUGCGCAGGCGGUUUCUUAAGUCAGAUGUGAAAGCCCCGGGCUUAACCUGGGACUGCGUUUGAAACUGGGAGACUUGAGUGUGGCAGAGGGGGGUGGAAUUCCACGUGUAGCAGUGAAAUGCGUAGAUAUGUGGAGGAACACCGAUGGCGAAGGCAGCCCCCUGGGUUAACACUGACGCUCAUGCACGAAAGCGUGGGGAGCAAACAGGAUUAGAUACCCUAGUAGUCC
Molecule: ribosomal RNA, 791 nt
Filed under: uncultured bacterium
Lineage: Bacteria
Description: bacterial SSU rRNA
Rfam family: Bacterial small subunit ribosomal RNA
Source: RNAcentral